RNAcentral lists this ribosomal RNA (1076 nucleotides) under Lactiplantibacillus pentosus. Its description in RNAcentral is "bacterial SSU rRNA". It matches the Rfam family "Bacterial small subunit ribosomal RNA", at positions 1 to 1069 of the family's 1533-position model. The record is from RNAcentral. Lineage: Bacteria; Bacillati; Bacillota; Bacilli; Lactobacillales; Lactobacillaceae.
GGGGAGGGGCGGCUGCCUAUACUGCAGUCGAACGAGCUCCGGUUUUGAGUGGUGCUUGCAUCGAGAUUUACAUUUGAGUGAGUGGCGAAUGGUGAUAAACGUGGGAACCUGCCCAGAAGCGGGGGAUAACACCUGGAAACGGAUGCUAAUACCGCAAACAACUUGUACCGCAGGGUCCGAGUUUGAAAGAGGGCUCCGGCUAUCAUUUUUGGAUGGCCCCGCGGCGUAUUAGCUAGAUGGUGGGGUAACGGCUCACCAUGGCAAUGAUACGUAGCCGACCUGAGAGGGUAAUCGGCCACUUGGGGACUGAGACACGGCCCAAACUCCUACGGGAGGCAGCAGUAGGGAAUCUUUCCACAAUGGACGAAAGUCUGAUGGAGCAACGCCGCGUGAGUGAAGAAGGGUUUCGGCUCGUAAAACUCUGUUGUUAAAGAAGAACAUAUCUGAGAGUAACUGUUCAGGUAUUGACGGUAUUUAACCAGAAAGCCACGGCUAACUACGUGCCAGCAGCCGCGGUAAUACGUAGGUGGCAAGCGUUGUCCGGAUUUAUUGGGCGUAAAGCGAGCGCAGGCGGUUUUUUAAGUCUGAUGUGAAAGCCUUCGGCUCAACCGAAGAAGUGCAUCGGAACUGGGAAACUUGAGUGCAGAAGAGGACAGUGGAACUCCAUGUGUAGCGGUGAAAUGCGUAGAUAUAUGGAAGAACACCAGUGGCGAAGGCGGCUGUCUGGUCUGUAACUGACGCUGAGGCUCGAAAGUAUGGGUAGCAAACAGGAUUAGAUACCCCUGGUAGUCCAUGCCGUAAACGAUGAGUGCUAAGUGUUGGAGGGUUUCCGCCCUUCAGUGCUGCAGCUAACGCAUUAAGCAUUCCGCCUGGGGGAGUACGACCGCACGGCUGAAACUCAAAGGGAAUUGACGGGGGCCCGCACAAGCGGUGGAGCAUGUGGUUUAAUUCGAAGCUACGCGAAGAACCUUACCAGUCUUGACAUACUACUGCCAAAUCUAGAGAAUAGACGUUCCCUUCGGGUGACAGUGAAUUAACAGGUGGUGGCAUGGUUGUCCUUCAGCUCCGUGUUCGUU